UUCUCCAACAUUUGGGCCUGCUAUGCAGUUAUUCAAGUCAAAUUUCACACGUAACAAGUUAUUGUGAAACAUGAAUAACAUGAUGAUGAUCAUCAUCGAUAGGGAUAGGAAUUGUGAUCAAAGAGACUAAACGAUCUUUAGUCACCCCAACCGAUGUCCCAAUACCAUCACCGUGUUGAAAUAUGCAGUGAGCAGUUCGUGCCAUAUUGAGUGACAUGUUCACAAUCGAUUUUGAUAUAGUAGCUUUUGGCACUCUCUUCAUUGAUUUUCUUCCAUGAAUAGCAGAUUAAGCCCUUUAUGUAUUCUUGUGCUUCUUCUUCCGAUAUGCCUUUCUCUUCCAUGUAAAUGGACUUUGCAACAUCCCCUCUCUCGUUUUCAGCCUUCGAGCAAUUGAAAAGAAAUAAGGAUUAGUACAUAGGGUGAAGUCUGGUAAGACAGUCCAACACAUUAUGUUGUCAAAGACCCUAUUGUAUUUAUAUUAGAAUCUUCCAUUUUUUGUGAAAUGUACAUUAUACAAGUUUUUCGUUCGGAUUUAAAGUUUGACGACAUAAUACGUCACGUAUCACCUAACAUAAUAUGUUACAUCUAUACGAAUAUGAUAUAUACCUUGGAAGUGCCCAAAUCAUCUGUAAGUCGUGUUAUGAUGGAUGCCCAGUAUAUCAGUUGAUAGCCAUGGUUAGAGGACUCAAGUGAAGCUUUUGUUAGUUGGGAUCCUUGUGUUAACAGAUAAGCAUGGAGCAUUGCUCCCGGACCACCCACUGAAGUCCAUGCAUUCUUCAAAUACUCCUCAAGAGUUGGUGUGUAUCCGCCGUAGAACCACCGUGCUUCCACCAUAUAAGACUUGCAAAGAUUUUCCCACUGCAGCACACAAACAAAAACUAGUAUUAUUUGGGUUCAAUUAUUCUAAUGAAGUAGAUUCCUCGUCGUCAGUUAGUUUUAUAUUCCAGGAAUUAAUCAAACAAAGGCAUAGUUUUAGAAUGUGAUUGAAGGAUUUAGGCUUCUUCUUGAUUAUAAUAAUGGGAACCAACUAAGAUGCCAUACUAUCAUGUUUUUAAUAUGCAUGUAUAAUUGAGACUUAGUUAAGUAUGUACCGCUUUCUUAAUAAGAGGAAGUGUGUUUUGGUCAGCUAACUCGUUGCCAAAGGUGAACAUGGUAGAAUAAAUUGGUUUCAUGUACUCAGGAAUGUCCUCAUUAGCCUUCAGAUUCCAUCUGUUACAGCAACAAAUUAGAUUAGGACAUAUAUAAUCAAUUAGUCUCUGAUUAGUCGAUAACCAACACCAACUUACUGAGUAUAAUAGGCAACUCUCACUCGCAUGCCUCGUCUUUACCUGGUAUAUAUGGUCAACUAAUUAGAGUGAUUUCUAAUUAAUUUAAGCUAAUUCAUCACUGUUAAUUAAUUUUUCGUUCUUAAUCUGAUUAGUGUGCUUGUGAUUGAUGAUGAUCAGGGUCAUUCUAGCCGUUGGAUUGUCAAUGCUGGUGAUAGGGACUUGGUCGAACCACAAGUCAAGAGCUUCGUGUGGAUUCACACACCAUCAUUUUCUUUCCACUGGAGGCAUCUUGUGCUUUGUUCAUGGCCUCUUUUGUGUAGCGUAUUAUAUUACUGCCACUUCUACCGACUAAUUAGUGAUUAGUAGCACUAAACCAGCCUCUUGCUUUAAGGAUUGUUUGUGCCUAGCUUUCUCAACUUUACUAAUUCAUCCCUUUCAUAUUUUCUAACUCUGAACUUCUGAAAUCUGAACUUCUGAACUUCCAUUUGAGUUGUACGUACACUGCUAUAUUUCAUUCUUAUUUUUUAUUAAAAAAAGAUUUGGAAAAAUGAAUAAUAGAGCAUUUCUGAAUUAACUUUCCAAACAAACUAUAACAAACAUCAAUUAAACUUAAUUAACACUAGAUGAUGAGAGAGAAUGCCAUAACCAACUAACUAAUUAAUUGCACGAUGGGAUCAUGGAAGCGUACAAAAGAAAGUUGUAACACAAACUCUAUAUAUCUGAUGUAGGUGUUCGUAUUAGGCCUCAUUUCUUUUCUUUUUUGGCAAAUAAAGAACUCCAUUAGAUAAAAAAGAAAGCACCUAAGGGGAGAUAAAAAAAAAAAAAACAACCUAAGGGUACAUGAACCCAAAAACCUUAUAGCAAAAAUAACAAAAAGCUAAAGAUGACCAAAAUAUAUAAAAACUAAGUUGAGUUGAUCGAAUCAGAUCAGGGAACACAAUGUGUGUCCGAUUGCAAGUAGGGUAAGAGUCUGGUGAAUCUCUUUUCAAUUUCGGUUUUUUUUUUGAGAUUGUGGAAGAGACUUAAGAGGAUUGUCAUCUUCUAGUGUUGUUUCACGCUCGUCAAACCAAAAACACAAAAGACUGAUAUGAGCAUGAACAUUUGUAUAUGAUGAUCGAGAGGAAUUAUUACCUGUACCCGGCACAUUGCUGAGUGGUGUUCCCAACCCAAUAGUUCUAGGACCCGUGUAAAAUUAUUUAAAUAAGAAAUACGUGGAUGGUUUGGCCUGUUAACUCCGUCAAUCUGCGUUAUGCAGUAGUUCUUCUUCUUCACUCUUCAUUGAACGAAAAAGAUAGAAAACAAAGAACUUGAUUUGGAUCCAAAAGCGAUGUGUAGUGAAAUAUUGAUUGGGUUCAAAGAGAUUAUGCUUUGUCAUCAGACUUGUAUAUAUGUGGGUGAAGAAUCAGUUUAGAUCCCAACAGAGAAGACAACUACCCCUUCUUUGGUUCUUGAAUGCGAGGAAGAAGGUUUGGGUGCCCAGAGAAAAUUCUGGGUACCUGCAUAUUGGCUCGUUAGUCGGUUUUUGAUGUCGUCAGACGAUCGGGAAGGCAGGAACCGAUUUGUCGGAAGUCGGUGGGACACGGUGGUGCUCGGAAGUUGGCGGUGGAGGAGAGAGGAAAACUCAGAUCUAUUUUUUCUCUCCUCUCAAAUCUCUAUAAACCGAACAUAGAAGCUUAAAUUGGCUUUGUUGGUGGAAAUUUGUUUUACUUGGGUACGUAAGAUCGACCUGAGUUUCAUUGAGCUUCCUUCUCCUUCAUAAGAAUGGAUCUGAUUUCUUGAACUUUUCUUCUUGUUUCCCUAUAACAGACCAAUAACACCGUUUUAAGUCAGGUGAGUGAUGUGUUAAAAAAAAUACACAUGUCCUAGAAUUAUUGGGUUGGGAACACCACUCAGCAAUGUGCCGGGAACAGAUAAUAAUUCCUCGAUGAUCGAGGAAGUAGAUUCUUAGCUAGUUGUGUCUCUGGAACAUGUGAGGCGUGCAUGUACCAUGUCGUUAUGUACUCUACGUGAAUCCCAGAUGAUACAUUAGGGUCAGCAGAAGAGUAAUCUCCAAUAUGUUGGAUCACCUCCACUACUUCCUUAACAACAUAAACUUGAGAAACAUUAUUCUUCUUUGGAUGAUGUCGACGAGUUCGACUACGUUUUCGCCCCCUCCAUGUAUCAAUUUCAAUGUCCUAUGACUCCUUGGCUUGAGCAGGACGAUACCGCUUACAAGAGCUAAUAGCAUGACUCACAUUACCACAAUGAAAGCAUAAUAGAGGCAAAUGUUCAUACUCAACUUCCAAAAUUAGGGUUCCACCCUAAGCUCUAAUGGGGUUAUGUGGAAAGAUCAAUAUCCACCAAAACCCUUGCAUAUAGGCUGAACUUUCGGUCAAGUGUGUUCGUAUCAAUCCUGAUUGGGAUGCUAAUUUCAUUGGAAAUUUCAAAUAUUGUUUGGGCUCCAAGAUCGCAGAAUAUCACCCAUAUUUGGGCAUUUGUAUUGCGCUGACAUGCAAGGGGAAAAAUUGGGAGUCCAGCGCAUGAACCUCAAUGUUGCAGGCCUCAAAGCAAUGGCACCCAUUGCCCAAAUUCUUGUCAUACAAUCCUCAUAUGCAAAUUGUAAACAAUAACAACCUCGACCCAUUGGAAUAAGUUUCUGGCGUAAAUCGUGCAGGGUAUAAGAUGUUUCUUAAUUUCAAUGUUAAUUGCAGACGACCCAUCAACAUACACUUGCUGCAAUUCUCCAGACCCAACUGAUAACCAUCUUCAGGAAUUUUUAUAGUAGCUAGUUCUGCCAGCCCUAAUCACAGCAGGUUGGGGUAAAUCUGAUAUAGGUAUUGCAGACGAAGUUAAAACACACGCAGAAGUCAUGUUCACAUUCAAGAAGGACCAAUUGCAGAUCCCACACGACAUGCAAAUAAUUUUACAUGCAAAUAAUUCAUGUACUCUCAUCUUCAUCGUACACCAUCAUCCCUUGAUUAUAAAAACCACCGAAUAAAAUUAAAUCUCAUUUAACCGACAAAAAAAGAAAAGAAAAUUAAUGUAGAUAUAAAUGUGUCGCAGGAUACAUACAACCACAUUGGUCCAUACAAAACCUUGGUGGCUUGGUCCAUCAUGAAUAGUGAGUAGUAGGGACGUCAAUAAUUUAAUUACCUGAAUCACUGAAUGAGCAGCACGUGCUAUGGGGGUCGAUCAAUUAUUUUCAUUUGUAUGUGUACAGAUCGUUAAGUAUAAGGGUACUUUAGUUAUUUGUUCAUGACUAUUAGAGAUAUACAUUGUUCAUGACUAUUAGAAAUAUAAAGAUGUAGUCCUAAAAACCUCUCAGCGUUUCCUUUACAGCUUUCCUUCAAUUUUGUCUUUAGUUUUCAAUAAUUUCAGAAAUAACUUAGGUAACCAGCCAUAUGGUCACUUAUGGGUGAUAAACACCAAUUAGAAAAUGACAAGCGUCAACAAUAAAAGCCAUGGUCAAUUUAGUUAUUUGCCUAGAAUCCCUACCUAUAAAAGCUAUGAGGAGGGAGAAUCGAAGAGAUGAAGGUAUUGAGUUUUCCGACGAGGGUUCGACGGAUUCCGGUGAAGCUUGAUGUCGACUCAGGUAUCAAAGUUGGUCUAUUUGAUGAGCUUUACAUGUUUCUAUAAUUGGAAUUGAGAUUGGUUGGGUGUUGGAGAGAUUGAGAUUUUGGGCAGUGUUGUGGACCGCUGUGAGUGACGUUGUUCACGGCGGCGGUGGGGUUGAAGAAAUUGGUUUCCGGCUUUGUUGGUAUACUGAAUUGUAUGAGAUAGUCAGUUUUGAUUUUGGGAUGAGAUUGAAGAAGUUGGAGUUGUGGGAUUUUGGUAGUGUUCAAUUAUUGUGCAGGGUGGUGUUUUAAUUAAAAAUGGAGGAGUUGGUAUUUUAUGGGUUUGGUUGAGCUUAGCAGUAGCAUUGGAUCAGAGUUUUGUUAAUAUGUUGCUUAAUUUCCAGAAACGGAGGAGUUGAAGGAGUUGAGGGAUUAAUGAUGAAUUGUAUCAUUUGGAAUGAAGGAUAGUACAAUUGUUCUUUUCAUUUUGGUAUUGAUAUUUGUAAUUCAGUUGAUCAAAGUGACUGAACUCCAGGAAAGGGAAGAGUAGGGUAUGUGUUCUGCUAAUGAUGGAGUAGUAUGUAAAUCUUUAUUAGUGCAGGUGCUAUUAAUAAGGAGAGUGGUGAGUUCAUUUUAUUGAUGAAAGCAUGAUUGCCGAAUUGGAGUUAAGGAUUGUGUGAAAUUGGGAAGGGAGUAUUCGGUGUUCACAAUGGUGGUGGUAGUGAUUAUACCUAAAUUUGGAUUUAGUAUAAUGUCAAGGGAAGUUGGUGAGUAAAGGUGGUGUGACGUGCAUUUGGUAAUUCGGAUGUGUUUAAGACCCGAAGGCUUGGAUGGAAGGAUACAUUAUGGGUGUAGAAUAUUUUGGGUGUCCAUAGUGAAUUUGUAGUUGGAUGGGUGUCCUUAUCAAUUUCAAGGACUUGAUCGUAUCGACUUGAAGAGAUUCGCUUACUUUCUCGGAAAGAAGAGUUGGUACGAGGUUCGAAUGUGAGAUGCGGGAUUCCAGGAGCAUGAGCAUAAGGAUUUCAGAACGCGUAUCGCUGAGUUACUAAUUUCGAUUAGCGGAGCUAAAGCUUGGAUUCCAGGUAGGGUUUCUCUCAGGGAACCUUUGUUUAAAUUGAUAAUUAGAUUAUAAUUGAAAUUGAUGCUUUGUGUGUCAUUGAGUGAUUAACUCUUGGUUGUUAUUGUUUUCGAUAAAAGUAUGGUAUUCGGUGAUUUAUAUAAUUAAUGUUAUCGCUUUCCAUAAAAGCAUGUGUUGGAUGAUAUAUUAUGAGUAUUGAUAUUUGUUGCAUUCAUAAUGCAUUGUGAGGAAUUGUGAGAUUAGUGAGAUUGGUGAUUAUGGAGAGAUGAGAAUAAGAUCUAGAGAAUAGAUAUAUUUUGUGUAGUUGAGUUUCCUCAUGGGGCAUCCAAGAUCUAUGAUUAGCCCACACGUGCACAUGUUUGGGGAAAGUAGGCCCUUUCGAUGACGGACAUCAAUAAAAAGAUCUUAUAGGGUUCCGGGUUUGGAAUGCCAAAAAUAUAACAAGAUGACUAACAAAAGAGGUACAGGUGGUGAGAUAUUACUGAUUUGUUAGGUCGUAUAUUGGAGACAUCUACACGAUAUGAGACGUGUAGGCUCAUAUGUUUUUGAUGUAUGGACUAAUAAGCCAGUAAUCGAGUGGAGGAAGUUCAUUUGCAUAUUGUUAUCAUUUAUAUUUAAAGUAUUGUUUGUUACUAGAUAACUUGAUUUUGCGACUUAGAUAAGAAUAAUCUUAAGAGGUUUGGUCCUACUGAGCGUAAGCUCACCCCUAUAUAAUUUUGUUCAGGUACCACGAGACACAUCUUUCGAGAAGACUAACUAUGAAGUUUAGCUGACGUGUUCAAGAGAGUAGAAGAGUUAUGAAAGAUUAGAAGUGAGAUAGAUCUGCAAGCCAUGCUUUGUCUUUGUAAUUAUUUUUGUUAUUGUAAACGUUUUAUUUUCUUUUAUUUCGAGAAAAGUAUUUGAAAUUGUUCUAUUUUCUUUUACUUUUCACGCUCACGCCUCGAGUUCGGCGUCAGGUGCUUGGAAACCACCGGCACCGGGUUUGAGGUGUGACAUCUUAGCCCAUUCCAAUGAUUCUUACCAUAAGGACGAUAGUACCCAUCAUUAAACCACACCUAACCAGAAGCUUCCACCGCCAUGUCCUUCAUAACAACCUCUCUCUCUCUCUCUCUNUCNUCAUGCUCUNCUGUCUNUCNCNUCUNUCUACUACUACUACUACUCUUCUACUUACGUACGUACGUACGUACGUUACCGUUACCGUUACCGUUACCGUUACCUUACGUUACGUUACGUUCGUACUACGUACGUUACUACUCUACUACGUUCUUACUACGUACGUACGUACGUUACGUUCUACUACGUACGUUACGUUACUUACUUACUACGUUACGUUACGUUACGUUACGUUACGUACCGUUACGUUACGUUACCGUUACCGUUACCGUUACCGUUACCUUACGUUCGUUACUUCGUUACGUUACCGUUUACCGUUACCGUACGUACGUAACGUUAACCGUUACCCGUUACCGUUACCGUUACCGUUACCGUACCGUUACCGUUACCGUACCGUUACCGUACCGUACCCGUUACCCGUUACCGUUACCCGUUACCCCCGUUACCGUUAAAACCCGUUACCCGUACCCGUUUUACCGACCGUACCGUUCCGACCGUACCGUACCGUACCGUUACCGGGUACCUACCGUAACCUCCUACCUACCUACCGUACCUACCUUACCNCCUACCUACUUACCUCUACUUCUAACCUCUCUCUCUCUCUCUCUCUCUCUCUCUCUCUCUCUCUCUCUCUCUCUCUCUCUCUCUCUCUCUCUCUCUCUCUCAAAUCCUUCGUUGGCGACCUCAGCCUCGCCUCCACCAUCUCCGGCGGCCUCAUCCGUCCUCGCCUCUCUCAAAAAAGCACAACGGAGAGUCCUCGCCUCCACCAUCUCUCUUUAUCUCUCUCUCUAACUCUCACUUACAGAUCUGUCGUCGGCGGUCUCAUCCGCGCCUCCACCAUCUCUGGCGACCUCAUCCUCGCCUCCGCUUAUUACCCCGGCCUCCUCCUCGCCUGUCACUGCAACACUACGAGUCCGAAGAGCAGCGUCAAAUCCAGAUUUGGUCGUUCUCCGACGUCGUCUGCACUUCGUCGCUUGGAAACGUCGAUGCGAGCCAAGCUUCAACAUGCACCACUACGGCCUUCGAUUAGAGGUGGUCGUCCUAGCUUGGCUGCACAUCGUCUUUGCCUCCGCCUUUGGUUUCGGACUCCUACGUCGACGCCAUCAAGAGCUGGUGUUGUGUAAUGGAGAUUGUUUUCUCAAGGGUAAUAAAGUUCUACUGGGGAUAAUAAUGUUCUACUAGGGGUGAUAAAUUUAUUACUGGGGUUAAUACAUUUAUAACUAGUCCUUUGUUCUGUUUUUUCUUAGGGUUAUUAUUCUUCUAUCGUCUUCGUUUAACUAAUUACUAGGGGUCAGUAAUUAAUUAUUGAGGUCAGUAACUCGAUUAUUAGGGACCAAUAACUAAUGACUAGGGUCAGUAAUUGAUUACUGGGGGUUAGUAAUUGAUUAUUAGAGGUCAGUAACUCGAUUUUUUGGGGUCAGUAACUCGAUUAUUAGGUACCAAUAACUAAUUACUAGGGGUCAGUAAUUGAUUACUAGGGGUCAGUAAUUGAUUACUGGAGAUCAAUAACUUAAUUAUUAGGGGUCAGUAACUAAUUAUUAAGGGUCUGUAAUUGAUUACUGGGGGUCAGUAAUUGAUUACUAGGGGUCAGUAAUUGAUUACUGGAGAUCAAUAACUUAAUUAUUAGGGGUCAGUAACUAAUUAUUAAGGGUCUGUAAUUGAUUACUAGGGGUCAGUAACUGAGUGAUCGGAGAAAAUCUGGCGAGAUUCCGGUGAUAGCCGGAGAAAAUCCGGUGACCGGAGUCUGGCGGCCGGUGACUGGAGACCGGUGAGAAACCGGUAAGUAACUCAUUUAUUAGGGGUCAGUAACUAAGUUAUUGGGGUCAAUACCCAAUUAUUGGGGGUCAGUAACCAAGUUAUUGGGGGUCAGUAACCGAGUCACCAGUGACCAGAAAAAUCCGGCGGUCGAUGACCGGAGUCCGGCGGCUGGUGACCAGAGUCCGGUGAGAUUUCGACCAAGUAUUCUCUCUUCCAUUUUCUCUCUCUAUGCAUGUUUAAAGGGUGAGGGCAAAAUAGUCUGAAAAUAAUAUAGUUUGUUAAGACUUUAGUAAAGAUUUGUGCAUUUGGGCAUAAAAAAGAUUACCUUAUAUUGAAAUGGGCUAAUGAAAAAGAUUGUCAUUAAAAUGAGGAAUGAUGGGUUUAAAUUAGUACUAAUUUUUUUGGCCAUGAACCCAAAAUACCUUUAGUAAAAAUAAAAAAAAGCUAAAGACAACGAAAAUAUAUAAAAGCUAAGCUGAGUUGAUCGAAUCAAAUCAGGGAACACAAUGUGUGUCCGAUUGCGAGUAGGGUAAGAGUAUCGUGAAUUCUUUUUUAUUUCGGUUUUUUAGUUUGAGAUUGUGGAAGAGACUUAAGAUGAUUGUCAUCUUUUAGAGUUGUUUCACGCUUGUCAAACCAAAUACACAAAAGACUGAUGAGAGCAUGAACAUUUGUAUAUGAUGACCGAGGAAGUAGAUAUUCUUAGCUGGUUGUGUCUCUGGAACAUGUGAGGCUGUACCAUGUCGUUAUGUACUGUACGUGAAAUACCUAGAUGAUACAUUAGGAUCAGCAUAAGAGGAAUCUCCAAUAUGUUGGAUCACCUCCACCACUUCCUUAAUUAGCAACGUAGACUUGAGAAACAUUAUUCUUCUUUGGAUGAUGUCGACGAGACUACGUUUUCGCCCCCUCCAUGUAUGAUGUGUCAAUGUCAAUGUCAAUGUCCUAUGACUCCUUGGCUAGAGCAGGACGAUACCGCUUACAAGAGUUAAUAAAAUGACCCACGUUGACGUUACGGCAGAAGUCUUGUUCACAUCAGAAGUUAAAAGACAAAAAAAAAAGUUACUGUAUCGGACGUAGGAUACAUACAACCACAUUGGUCCAUACAACCACCUUGGUCCAUCGUGAAUAGUGAGUAGUAGGGACGUUAAUACUCAAUAAUAUACCUGAAUCACGUACUGAAUGAGCAGUACUAUAUAUAGUCGAUCAAUUAUUUUCAUUUGAAUAGUGAUUCAUCACACACACAAUGAUAGAUAAGACUUGCAUGUUGUGCGUUUAUUACAAGUUAAACGAAUCCUUGUGUCAUGAUCAAUCAUCGAGGGGGAUAGGAUUUGCAAUCAAAGAGACCAAACGAUCCUUAGUCACCCCAAUUGAGUUCCCAAUGCCAUCCCCAUGUUCAAAGAUGCAGUGAGCAGCCCGAGCCAUAUUUAGUGAUAGGUUUACGAUGGACCUUGGUAUGGUUGUUUUGGCACUCUCUUGGUUUAUUUUCUUCCAUGAAUGGCAGAUCAAACCCUUUAUGUAAUCGCAUGCUUCUUCUUCCGAUGCGCCUUUCUCGUCCAUGUAACACUGAAUGGAUUUCGCAACAUCGCCUCUCUCCCUCUCAGCCUUUGAGCAAUCAAAAAAAGAAACAACAAUUAGUACAAAUUCAUGCUUUGUAAGAGAGUCUCACACACAUAUAUAUAUAUAUAUAUAUAUAUAUAUAUAUAUAUAGUCCGGAUCUAGAGAGGACCUCCUUAAACUCUUAAAGUAUGGAUGUUUUUAGUUCUAGUAUGUAUUUUUACAAUCAAAUCCACUCAUUCCCUAAUUACUUACCCACAUAUAAAUCCUACAAAAAAUUAGCCAAAAUAAAAACGUUUAACCAUUUGAUUAGCACAAUAUUCGUUUUAAUUUUAUCUAACGGCCUGCAAUUGUUUACAUCAAUUUGAAUGACCAAAUGAUUAUGGAAUUAGUUGAAAUUUUGUAAACAUGUUUCUUGCAUAUGAAUCUAGAGGAUCAACGGUUGAGAUCGUUAAAAGAAGUCAUCUACUAAUGUAAAAGAGUAGAAAUCAUCAAAUUCUUAAAGUAAAGAGGUCCUCUUUAUAUCCUCCCUCAUAUAUAUAUAUAUAUAUAUAUAUAUAUAUAUAUAUAUAUAUNUGNNNNNNNNNNNNNNNNNNNNAUAUGGAUUUCUGCCGUUUCUUCACCAUUUUUAGCGCCGGCGACGCCGUUUCUUCUCCCCGGCGUGAUCCUAGACCUCUCCCGACGAUGUUGGAAUGAAGAAGAAGGCCGGAGAGAUCGCGAUCGGAGGUCUGUGCAGCAAUCUCACUCAGAACUUCACUACCGAUCAUGGUGGACCUCCGAUCGCUUUCUUCUUCAUUCUAACAUCGUCGGGGGAGGUCUGAGAUCAAGCCGGGGAGAAGAAACGGUGUUGUCGACGUUGGAAUGGUGGAGAAACGGCGGAAAUCCGUACGGAAAACCUGUACGGACGUCCGCACCUGAUAAUCCUUCUAUAUAUAUAUAUAUUACAAUUGACAAAUUACUUUAGGUGAAAUAUAUAUGAUUCAAGUUUGUUAUAUGAUAUAUAUACCUUGGAAGUGCCCAAAUCGUCGGUGAGUCGUGUUAUGAAGGAUGCCCAAUAUAUCAGUUGAGAGCCAUGGUUAAAGGACUCAAGUGAAGCUUCUGUUAGUUGGGAUCCUUGCGUUAACAAAUAAGCAUGGAGCAUUGCUCCCGGACCACCCACUGAAGUCCAUGCAUUCUUCAAAUACUCUUCCAGAGUUGGCGUGUAUCCGCCGUAGAACCACCGUGCUUCCACCAUAUAAGACUUGCAAAGAUUUUCCCACUGCAUGCCGACAACCAUGCAGAAAAAUCAAUUUUGCUUACUAAUUGGUUUAUGGAAAAAUUAGAGAGGGUGUUAGAUAAUUACCUCGUUCUUAAUAUAAGGGAGGGUGUUUAAACCAGUGUUUUUGAAUAUGUUGUCAGACAAAUCAUUGCCAAACUCGAGCAUGGCAAUAUAGAUUGGCUUCAUGUACUCAGGAAGUUCCUCCUUUGCUUCCAUAUUCCAUCUGCGAUAGAAAGUUAAAAACGCCAGAGCUAGAUCAGUGUGAAGAAGAAGUUUUCAGGAAUCACCAAAUCGAUCAUCAGCUUUCAUUCUCAGACGUACUCCUGGUUAAUAAACAAUUCAACUUACUGAGUUACUGCAUCUGUAAAGCACUCGAGUUCAUCCAGGAAUCCGUAUACAUCAUACAAGUCAUCAAUAACUGUUAAUAUGCACACAAACUUGGUGAGGCCUAUUCUGCAUUGCGAGAAUUGGGGAUCAUGACUAAUCCCCAUUGCCCACAUGUAGUUCUCCAUUAGUCUAUCCCUUGAGAAACAUGCCUUUGAUUUCAAAUCCAACUCUCUCCACCACCUGCAAAGUAAACACUCCUAGAGUCUUAGUUAAUAAUUAAGCAAGUUAGUUACAUUUUCAAACUGUAAAUCUCGCUCCAUUACUGAAGCAAUAUAUCAACUGCUUGAUCAUAUGGGUUCGGAAAACGAAAACGUUUCCAUACUUGCCUUGAAAGCUCCUUUAUCUCCAUCUGAUGGACUGAUUGAACAAGAUUGUAGUCCAAUUUUGCCAACUCCAGCAGCGCCUGCAGGUUCUUAGAAUCUUCCCUUUGGUACAUAGUAAUGAAGUUCAGAGCUUCUAUUCUCGGCAUCCUCCAGUGUAAAGGGGUCUGCAGUGAGUGCGCUACUCGCUUGAGUAGAUAAUCGUCUUUCAGUGUUGCCAUGGAUUGUUUCAAGUUUUUAAAACUAAAUCUCUUGGCUUCCUCUAGAACAUCUUCUCCUGGCAUUCCAAGGUGUGAGGCCUCAUACAAACUCAAAAGUCCCUCCACGUCAUUGCUUAAGUUAUCUUUGAAGCUUCCUUCGCAAUUUCUAAACUGGUUAAACAAAUCUGUGGGAGAAGUAACAUGUCAACAUCUGUAAACAACAUGUCACUUGAAUUGAGAGUAUAUGCUAAAUAUAUAUGGUUUUAUAUGCAUGUAAGUAUAGUACAUUACCUGAGCUAAUUGAAAUGCCAUAUUGUCUUAGAAUUCGAAAUUGCAAAGCAACUGUUUGCAGAUCUGUUGUGGUACUAGCAGUACUGGAAGAAACAAGAGUAACUAUAGCCGCUUUGAUCUCCUUUUCGAAGUGAUAUGAUACUCCUAACCGCUGGAUCGAGUCUAUGAGCUUUAAGGUCAAGCAAGCAUCGCCUUUAGCUUUGGUACUCAAUACAUGCAAAUCUUCGGAAACAUUCUGCUUCAGACCCUCCAAUUUUGAGGCAUAUGAUUCAUGCUGCAACAAGAAUAACGAAAAUAUUUAUGAAUUAAUAAGUAGAUCGAUAUGUCAGAUGCUAUAAUCUAGUGCAAGCAUGAGUGCUGCGAUUUCGUAACGUUACAAUAAAAGAAUUCAGUUAGCCACCGAAGUUUGCCAUACAGUGUAGCGAGUGGAGAAGGAAUCGAUGAGCUUGGGACCCCAGAUGGUAGGAUGGUAUUGAGCUAGUCGGCGUUGACGAGCUACCGGAGGAUCAAUAACCUUGGAUGACGAGUUUGAAAGAAUGAAGGAGGAUUGCUUUGUUGCUGUUGUAUGAUGUGCAUGCUCCAGUACUGGUGCUGGCAUUGCCAUUCUUAAAUAACUAGUAUUAGUUAGUUUUGUGAACAAGAUUGAGGGAGAGGAGGAGGAGAAGAACAGAAGACUCAUUAUAUCUUCAGAUUUAGAAUAGAUUGAAAUCAGUGGAGAAGAACACCUGCUUUUAUACAAAGGUUCCUUAUACAAAAUGCUUCUUGUUUUUCACGUGAAAUAUAUUUCAAACUGGGAACUUUCUCGACGUGAUUUAUUACUAGGAGAAAUUACUGGUCACUCCAUUAUCUUUUAUGCUCUCGACAGUUUUCUCUAUAUCUUUUAAUUUCAAUCGAUUACUCCUUGAACUUUCUAAUGUCACACAAGGGAAAUUAUUAUUUGUAUCCGGAACACUAUCUGUUUUAUGUUCCCCUUUAAUCUCAUUGGUCCACGUGUUUUAUCCUUAUUUCUUAUUGGUGUAUUUAAUUACUUUUCCUUUUUUUUCCUUCCCGUGCUGGUCCCCACAUGAAUCUGAGUUAUAUGAUUAGCCGGGUACAACACUUGGCAGUGUCACGUGGUGUUCCGGGUACAGAGAAUAAUUACUCGUCACACAAUUAGGUCCAUUCGUUAAGUGACAAUCUAAAUCAGUGGUUAAGUUGCUGACUGGUCAUAUUUUUCAAUGCCAACUCAGCUGGAUGAAAGGAGAAAUUCCUUUAAGACCCCUAAUUCAAUUUCCCUGUUUUGAACCAAAAAUCCCUCCAAAAUACCACUUCCCUCCACACUGAAACACAGAAGUACACUGAAACACAAAAUGGGAAUCCAACAUUGACCUACAUUCAUAAUAUUGAAAAGUACAUUGUAUCUUCAACAUUAGCAAGCCAAUAACAAACCAACUAAUUUACCAAAAAUCAACAUUACAUCAUCAAAUGUCAAAUUGUUCAAGUACUAAUAUGUUAGCUCUAAUCAUCUUAUCAGAAGAUUAGAGCUAGCAACCAAGUCACAAAACACAAGGUUGCCCAGAAAUAUGAUGCAUAAAUGUUGGGGCUAGCUAAUAUGAAAUCUAUAAAAUUUCACAAACAUAACUACUUUCUAGCUCCUUUACAUGAGUUCUGUCUAAUCCUUUGAGAGGUUCUUGAUGCUGCAACCUUGUCGGUCGAUGCAUUGGGACCUUGUACAGACCUUGAAAUUGUAAGUGCAGAUCCAGCUCCCUUGAACUUUGCUGGGUAGAUGCAGCUUCAACAGGCCUUGUUCUCUUUGGAGUAGCCUUGCUAGCUUCCAACUUUGAAGCUUUCAACUCAACCUUCCUUAACUGGACACACAACAAUGCAACGAUAUAUAUAUGAUUUAAGCAUUUAUUACACUACAUACAUUCAACAUAUACUCAAUCCUUUAGGCAAUAUAUACACAACAUAUGCAAUUUGGCAAGAUGUAUUCUCAUACAUAGUACACACAACAUAAUAACUUUGACCAAGUUAGUUCUUCAGGAAAUUUUAAAGCUUGAUUCAAAAGAUGAAAAACAAUAGUUACCCUCAUAUACUCAUUCCUUUGUUUAAUUUUCUGUGACUUAGUCUUCUCUACAAUCUCCCUUAUCUUUGGACAAAUAUUGCCAUGGUAAGCUUCCAUUUUUCGCUUUCUGUUUGUGAUUCUCUUCAUCAACUUCACCCUUAACUCUUCAAACAUGGUGACUGGUGACUUACCUCUUGCCUCUAAUAUUCAGCCAUUAAAGCUCUCACAUAUGUUGUUAAUCAUGAUAUCACAAUCCAUAACUGUGUUGAAAUAUGCUCUGCACCAAUGUUUAGCAGGCCUUUCCUUUGCUGCAAACACAAACCAAUUACACUAAUUAAAAACCUGGUAAUUUAGAUCAACAUAUACCAUAUGAACAAGAUAAAGGAAAUAUGCAAGUACCUGUAAGCCACUUAUAAGCAUCAAGUUCAAGUUCCUUCAUAGUUUUCAUCUCCUUCUCAAAAUAAGGCAGAGUAGUUGACUUUGCACAAGCCCACAUCUGAUCUUUCAACACCAUUCCAGGAAAUAGCUUUGUAAAAUUGGUCCAUAAGUGCCUAACACAAAAUUUGAUUUCAGCUCUGCUGACAAUCUGUCCAAGUGCAGGUAUCAGACCCUUUUGUUUGUCACUGAUAAAUAUCCAUCAUCUUCCUUCAUGCUCAAUGUUGAGAUCCUUUGCCAAUAACUUCAAAAACCAAAUCUAUGAAUCCUUGCUCUCAGCCUCAACCAUUGCCUAUGCUACCACAUAUGAACCAUUAUCAGCAUCCAUAUACCAACAGCUAUCAAAAGUUGGUCCCCAAAACAGCUCUUAAGAUGAGUACCAUCCAAACCAAUUACACUUCUGCAACCAACCUUGAAACCAUUCUUGAGAGCUCCCAAGAAAAUAUAUGUGUUUGAAAACUGGAAAGCUGCUACCAUUAGGGAAAGAACACUUGAUGUCAAUUGUAGUGGCAAGAUCAACUCUUUGAAGCUCUCUUCCAUAAUCUUGAAUUCUUGCAUAUUGCUCCCUUAUUGUUCCUUCCACUUCUUCAAGUGCAGCCACCUUAGCUCUAUAAGCUGUCCACUUAUGAACCUUUGCUCUAAUUUCUUUUGUCAUUGCCCUAGCUAGACUGUCUGCAUCACCACAAAAUUCAAAUAGCAAUUUGAUAAGCAUAUUAAUGAAGUAAAAAUAUGGUGUUAAAUAGCAAAACUAUUUUUGAAAACACAGUAACACUUACUUGGUUUCCAGCUCUCAUUGAGGGCAAUCAUAUCCUUAAACUUUUUGCUUAAGUACCUCUUGCCAACCAUGCAAUUGUUGAACUUCCUAAUGCAUCUGUGUUCUGGAUUAUACCUUUUAACAAUCAAUGUAUCCUCAUCAGGUAUUUUGGUGGCAUAUAAUUCAAAUAGGCAGUUGUCCUCCUUACAAAUCGCUUGUAUUCUUCGUGUCUCAUUCCUAGCGAACGAAUAUUCAUGUCCAUGUUGAAUAGCAUGCUGCAACAAAGCUUCCCUGAGUAUUUUUGCAUUGCCGAACAUCUGAUCUUCCAUGAAAAUUGGAUUCUUCAUGUGAAUUUUGGGGUUGAAUUCAAUCCCCACGUCAACCUUCUCCCCAUCAGAAUUGAACAUAUAUGUAAGUACCUCCUCAUCAUCAUACACAGUACUAAAAUGUGCAUCAUCAUCAACAAACUCUUCAUCAUGCACAAAACCUUUAGCUUCCUUUUGUUUUGCAUUCUCUUUAGCAUGUUCACCACCACCACCACCACCAUCAUCAUCAUCAUCAUCUCGCCCAUACUGAAAAUACUCAUCAUCUUUACUUGCUGGAUCAUACCUCAUGUCCUCAUCCUCCUCAUCACUUCUUUCAUUCUCACUUUCUAAUUCACUCCCACUCCCACCAUAUGAUUGAAGUUGAUCCAUAAAAUCAAUUUGUGCAUCUAGAAGAUCAUCCCCUUCAUUUUCUUGCACACUUGAACAUCCAAUUCCUCCACUAGAAGUAUGAUUUCGGCUUCUAUUAAAGUCCAUAAACUUCUUUUUUUUGCCAUUUUCUUGCUCAACAACCUUCUGUUUUCCCUUCUCUUUUGGACCAACAAACUCACCAAUAUUGCUUGGUUGAGUAGGCACAGUCUGUUCAACAUCUUUAAUCACAAUUCCUUUGCUUCUACCAAGACUAGGUUCUUCAGGAAAUACAGCACAACUAGCAGCUUGGCUAAACAACAUGUCUUGUAAGAAGGCCUCAUCAUCAUCUUCUUUUCUAAAGUCAGGGUGCAGCUCCAACUGGUCACAAUACACUAUUAACAACCUCCAAUAAGGUACAGAUGAACACAUAUGCACAACAUCUUCAUCUAUUUGCAGCUUCACUAACUCACCAUCUUCAACACCAACCCUAUAUCAAUACUCAAUCAGCUGAGUUUGAUAGAAAAGACUCAGCUGUUUCACCAUGUUCCUUACCUCCACAAGCGACAUCAUAUCUUUGUCACAGUUGUCGUAGAAAUCAUACUUCCCUCCCACAUAUGAACCAUCUUGAAAGCACCCUCCAUGAUACACAUUGACUGUGAAAUACUCUGGGCAAGCUGUAAUAAGCAAACAAAAACCAUUAAGUUACAAACAACUAAAAUAACAGCCCCAACAAAUACUUUGCGACAUAAAAAGCAAAAAGCCAAACACAAAACAAAGACCAUGUGAGACAUGAAAUAGUCUUUCUUUACUACAUACUAGGACCACAACCAAUCACUACACAAAAGGUACUAUAUUAAAAGCCAAACCAAAUUCUUCAACAACAUUUCAAAGAUAUUAAAAGCCAAAACCAGGUCUCCAACAACAAUUUUAACGAUAUCUAACACACAAAUACCCAGUCUUUAAGCCAUAAACCAAAACCAUAUACAAAUAGCGGCUGAGUUUUUCCUAUAUAUGAGUUGAGACAACUGUAAGUUGACUCUUUUCUAUUGUUUACAUCAACCCCGAAACCAGAUUCAAGAAUCCAUAUUUUCCCCCAAAAUCAAAAACCCUAUAAAUGUGCGAUUUUAAAGCAAUCCAUGUCGAAGACCAUAUUCCUAAAGUCUAGAACUUACUAUAAUUAGGUAUGCCAUCGUUCAACCCUUCUUCGCCUCUGGGAACCCACAAAUCUGGGUUCAUCACCAUGCCGAUGCGUACUCAGUAGAUGAAAGUUUUUUUUUUUCGUAUGGGGAUGGGUUUUCAGUAUUGGUCGAUGGGGAUGGUUUAUUGGUAUUGAUCGAUGGAGAGCACAGUGAGCCCCCAAGAUUUCAAAUUUUGGGGUUUCUGUGUUUUGGAGCUGGUUUUGGGUUAAGACACCCCCGAAAUAGGCUAGGGGCAUUUAUACCAUUUUACAAUCUUGUGUGGAUCCACGUGGCUAAUCAGUUUGCAAACUCAUCGCGUGAACUUACCAAAUCAGCAACUUAACCACUGAUUUAGACGGCCACUUAACGGAUGGACUUAAUUGUGUGACAUUGGAAAGUUCGAGGAGUAAUCGAUUGAAAUUAAAAGAUAAUGGAGUAAACUGUUGAGGGCAUAAAAGAUAAUGGAGUGACCAGUAAUUUCUCCUUAUUACUAUUUUAAGUUAAGCGGCGGGCAAGACCUAGGUCAAGGGCCACAUAUAUUUUGGGGCUUCAAUUUUAGUAUAUAUUUUUUCUUUUAAGUUGCUUUGCCAAACAAAUAAAUGCAAUUUAAUAGAAAAGAAAUAGGGGAAGCGUUGGACUACGCCAUAUUACUGUACGCCAUUGUGGUCCCGAGACGCGUGGCGUUUUUUCAUUGGCAGGGAGGAUAUUUGAGAGAUAGCGCUGAAAUUUCUCAGAUGACGGCCAUAUCCCUCAUUGUCGACGACGUUUGGGUAAAAGCUAGGGUUCAUUCUGUAACACCGACGACAGGGUGAAAAUGGGGUUAAUACGACGCUGCAUGGAGAUCGGCCACGUCUCCGCCACGGCAAGCAAAAUUGGAGUCGUGCACAAGUUCGGAAUCGAAAUAGGCAGAGCUGGUUAGUUUGAAACUGAUUAACUGAAGAAGGGUUGAAGCUGGUGUAUAGCGCAUUGAAAUAGGCAUUUUGGCUCACGAGUUUGAAACCGAUGAAUUGAUCAAUGGGUUGAAGCUGUAAACUGCAUUCAACCAGAUAGCAUUCCCUCCGGAGGUAUUACUUUUAAUCCAUGAGUUGCAUCAUUGUGUACCAGAUUUCUGUUGAUGUUUUUGAGAUUUGAUUAACAGUCAUCUUCAAAUUCAUGAGUCAGGAACAGAUGUUUGCUAGGCCUGUUUCUAUUUCAUAUCUUAUGUAUGUGUGUAGUUUAGUUUGUCAUCGGUGCACCUAUUAGUUAUGUGAGUGUUUAGUUGAGAGAGAAUCGAACCCAAGAGUAUUUGAUAUAAGCUAUUAUGUUCACUCCUUGAUCUACACUCGUAGAUGUAAAUCCACUAACAUUAUUGAAAUAACAAGCUGCCUAUCUAGAUGUUGAUCCCACAAAGUUUGAUGAGAUAACAAGAUCUUAGUUCAUCCAUUUCCAUUGGUAGCCACAUUGCAAUACUUCUAGUUUUAUUCAUGGGCAACAGUCAUAAAAGAUUUAGCUGGUGAGAACUCUGUACUGUUUAGGCGUUGGACCGUAGCUUGUAUGCUUGAUUAUCAUUUUCACCCAUGAUCAUAGCAACUAGAACCUUGCACAUCUUUAAUUAGAGAAAAACUGAUGCAUUUGUCUUGUUCUAGUAUCAAUUGAAUUAACAGAUAAACAAUAUCACUGACAUAUAUCCAAUUAUCAUCUAAUAUGAUCAGGAAAUCUGGUUGCUUUCUCUGGUCGCAGCACUGUAUGUAUGUGCAUUUGAUAAUUUCACUUUGAAAAGAAAUCAUUUACAUCUGUGUUGUACUUACAACAAUGUUUAAUGGUAGGAAAGGACAACAAUGUUUAAUGGUAGGAAAGGAUUCGGCUCCUCUAAAGUGAGGAGUGUGUGAAGUUAGUCUAAGUUCAUAAAAUCUAGGCUUUCUAUCUAAUCCAAAGGUCUUAAGAAUUGACACAUCACUAUUACUUAAAUUUUUGAUUUUUAGUCUAACCCUAGUUAACUUCUUGUUAACUAUAUUGUUAACUCCAUUGCAAAUGUAGCUUGGUCUUAAGCUAGGGAUGCCUUCGCCGUAUCAAGGUUCCCAACCAAACUCACACCCCCUUUAGUGUUGAAUCCCUUAUCUCUGCCGCAUACUUCCCCCAUGGCUGCCACCGGACUCCUCUAUAUGCUAUCUCGUCCUUGAUGCUCUCUCCCUCUUCCAUGGCCGCGUUGGAGUUCGCCUCUCAUCAUCUUUCAUAUGACGACGGGUACUGGUGGUGUCGGAGGAAUCCCCGGUGCCGGUCUGAGCGCGCAAGAACUCCAUAAAUAACCAUUUCUUCAUAGUCAUUUUGGUUGAACGGUAGCUAGGCAGGAGAGAUCAGAAUCCAGUGAGUUGAUCGAAGAACAUGACUCAAAGGAGAAUUCCGAAUAAUGGUUUUGAAGGAAUGAAGAGUCCAUUUAAAGGAGGGAUGAACUCAGCAAGCGAGCCAUGUUUAAACAAAUAUGAGGUUAAAGAAAUGAACAUAAUGGUGAAAGGGAUAUAUAUAUAUAUAUAUAUAUAUAUAUAGAAAGGAAGUUUGAAUUAGAUGAACAUGUAAUAUUGAUGCAAAACUCGUUAAUAGGGCUAAGAAUGAACUCUAUCGUUGACUGCAUUUAUAUGGAGUUAAAGAUAUAGUUAACAAGAAGUUAACUAGAGUUGGACUAAAAAUCAAAAAUUUAAGUUAUAGUGAUGUGUCAAUUCUUAAGACUCUUAAAUUAGAUAGAAAGUCUAGAUUUUAUGAACUUAGACUAACUUCAUGGACUUCUCACUUUAAAAGAGCCGGAUCCUUUAGGAAAUGCUGUUAAGAACUUAAAAGAGUAUGUUCCAUCAAGUCACUUGGCCUUUGCUAAGAAUCAAAUAAAUAGGUGUCUAAACCGAACCCUUCAAUGGACAGUCAUGGACAUGGUAGUCUUGUUGAUCUUUUGGUCUGUAUAUAUUUCCAUGGUCAGUUAAUCAUCCAGUUGGUUACUGCCUCCUCAUUUUAGAGUGACCAGACUGUCUCAAAAGAAAUAAUUGUUCCAAUAUAUAAAAUAUAUGCUCUGGUGAAUUGCAGCUUGAACUUCUUUAUAUCGUCCUGUUGUUGAGUUUUCAUUUCGAGGAACAUGUGUGCUAGUAGAGUGUUAUUUCUAAUGAAUAAAAUCAUUUUCCUGAUUGUUUUCAGCAACGUAGAGUGUCUGUGCCAAGGAUGGAAGAUAGUGGAGACUCCUUUGGGCUACAGCCCAGAGACUUUUUUUGUUCUUUACAAUAGUUUAAGGUAGGGUUUCAUAAAAUAAGCAUGUAUAUGAGCACUAGCCCAUAUAAAAAGUUGAAGAAGUCUCACAGCCUAAACAAUAACAUUAAAUUACAAGAUUCAUGUUUGGAAUAUAAUAAAAAAAUCUACCCAAAUCUACUCCUUUAACUCCUACAGGGCACAUCCACAUAUCUUUUUAGUACAAAGAUAUAAUUAUUCGCCUUCAUCAACUCUAAAUCUAACAUGUUCACCAACAAAAAAAAAAAUAGUCUACCCUGUUCGAAAAAAAUCUCCAAGUCUUCAUCGUUACUAAAAAGUUUGAAUUUUCAUAUGUGUUGUAAAUAGUUAUUACUUAGUGGGCAUUCUUGUAAUUAGCCGACUAGGGUUGUUAUUGUAAUUUACAUCAUGGCCUCAUCUCUAUAUAAGAGAUGGUUCCCUACUCAAUAAUAAAUACAUAUUCUCUCAUUCUCUUGGUUGUUUCUCUCAUUUCUCAAUCUAUUCCUUUUGUUUUACAACACGUUUUCAGCACGAAUAGUUCUAACAUUAUCUUGUUUUCUAUUGCAUGUGAAGCUCUAAAAGCAAAGGAUGAUCUUUCAAUUUGAUUCAUCGAAUUCGCUCUACAUUGACAUGGAAAGCUUUGAAAUCCAUGAUCAACCAUAUGAGGAUCAUUAUCUAACCAAGUUCUUGGAUUGGCUGAGUAGCUCCACAAACGGCAUUCUCAGCUCUACACAUAAAAGAUGGAGAUUAUCCGUUCUGCAAUGAGUAACGUUUUAUUAUCUUAAUUCCAAUUCAUAUUUGCUAGCCUUGAUUAUAUGAUGAACAAAUCACCAUGAAGCAUGAACCCAUUGUCUUUGGUUGCAUUUUGAAAUCUAUAUACGAUGCAUGAAGACCUAAAUUUAUAUUUUUAAUUUAUUCGGAUGAUAAAUACGUAUGUGGUAUAUAAAUUUGUUCAUGUUUUGUGAUUGAAAUAGAAGACAUAAAAAUCUUUAGAGAGGCCAGUAGCCACCGAAAUAAGCCCAAUUGCAUGCCUAGUAGUGCAUACCAAAAGGCGCAUGGAUGAACGAACUUCAGAUCCACUAUCAUUCUCUGACAUUCGAACACAAGAGCGUGAAUGCAUUCUGGAAGUAAUGCAUGUAACCGGUAAUGUAGGACCAUUAAUUUUGUCAUUUAUAUCAACGGUUACAUAUAUGAAAUAUUUAUGCCUGAAGCAUUUAGUGAUACAAAUUAACAUUGCUCAUAAUGAGGUUUGAAUAAAAUCCAUUUAGAAAUGUAACGUCAUUUGUUUAAUGACGCGUAGCACUGAUUAUGUUACUUAAUUGUGAUUUAAUAGAUACGUUUUGUCAGUUACAGAUUUGAAUUGUGUCAAAUUCAAUGUCAUUUAAAGGCAUAUAAUGCCGGAAGCAUUUAAGGGCAUGUAAUGCCAGAAGCAUUUACCAAGUUAUAACCCAUAUAUUAUGGCACAAGCAUUAUGGGUCAAAUUAUUGUGCAAAUUACGAUAAAGACGUUAUGAGUUUAAUCUUCGGUUAUACCAAUUUAAAUUAUGUCAUUAUAAUCCAUUAUGCUAGAAGCAUGAAUUUUAUUAUAAUCCAUUAUGCCAGAAGCAUUUAUCCAAUUUAAUACCUAUGUGUAAUGCUAGAAGCAUUAAUGAGAUUUGUACUCAUUGUCAUUGGUAUAUACUUAACCACUGCAUAAAUGAUAUUUAUUUAGUAAUUUAUGCCAUAUAUUAAAUAUCGGUUAAUUACCAAAUUCAAAUUGCGUCAAUUUUAUUUAAACAAUUCUCAAUUAUGUUAUCAUUUAUAUGAAUUGUUAUGGGGAUGUAAUGACGCAUUUUGCCGGAAGCAAUUAAUGAUGCAAAUGAAUUUAUUUUGCACGUAACCGCUACGGUGUUUACAUUUAUUGGUUCAGUAAUUACCAAUGUUAAUGCAUAUACUUUAUGUCAAUUAAAUUGUUUCCAUUAUGUUUUGUUUAUUUCAAUUUAAUUGAAAAUAAUUACUUUCACUUUAAGUUGUAAGUAAUGAAUUAAUAGCAUAUGUUGAUUUGUCUUAUUAAUGAUGAAUAUUAAAUAAGGCUGAGUCAGAAGCUCACCUCAAGCCUAUGUGACAACAGUAAGUCCGAGCCAGGAGCUCAACCUAAGCUGCAAGGCUAGCACAAAAGCUCACCACAUGUCGCCUUGAGUCCAUGACAAUAAUUAUAACUCUUCUCAAACUAGGCUCACCCAGUUGGAUGCGAUGUCUAGGCAAGUUCUUUUGAGGAUGUGUACUUAAGUGAGCCUUGCUCCACCACCUCAUCAUAUCUUACCUGGUCGUAUACAAUUAGAGUUACCGAAAGGGUUGACUAAUAACAUUGCAUUUCUUGGCAGACCAUUCUGAGCCCAGUAGGCCACUCUCCCUCUACGGGGCCUAAGAGCCCGGCCAACAUACCUCUCAGAUUGUGCCAUGUAGACUUGUAAAGUAUGUUGAGGUUUAUCUCUUUCACUUUAAUUAAAGUCAAUUCCUUUGGUCCAGCAGAAUCAAACAAAAGAAAAAUAAUCUAAUGACACUGUUUUUCGUACCUAGUCAUUAUGCAUGUCUAUAAGGCACUCCAAAUAUUUUCUCAUAAUAGCUGUUGUUAAUACAUUCACCAUAUGUAAUGUGUAGUUAAUUGCCAGAAGCAUUUACACAUAAUUACAUGACAUAUUCACUAUGCUAAAUUAGUAGCGUGAAAUUAAUAUUAUCAAUUGUUACAUGAUUAUAAUUUGAAAAUACAUGUACCUAAUGAACCGGUAGUUCAGAAGUGAACCUGUAGUUCAUGUAUAAAUCAAACUUGUAGUUUCGAUAAUAACCCCCUUAAGAAACUUAAAGUUUCAUUCCAAAAUUCAUCAGACAUGAUAAAAUCGGUAGCUUUUAUCAUGUUAAUUGGUAGUCUCUAGAAGAAACUAUUUGAAGUAGACAUCUUCCUUGCCUGAAGCAAAACAAAAUUAGAGAAUAUUGAAAUGAAAAGGCUUGAUGCCCUAGAAUCUCAAUCAAAAUUGAUAUGUGUUAUCAAUAUUAAGGAACUGAGCAUUCUCGUCUGACUGACGAGGCAAAAUACCUCUACGUUUUAGAAGAACGUUAUCAAAAGGUAAGUUCAUUGAAACCAAUGCUUAAAACAUUGAAACCACUAGAAAAAUGGUGUAAUAUCUUUGCAUAACCUUUGAAUGUGCGGCCAGAAGCGUACAUUGAAUACAUUCAAAUUUAUUAGCUAGAAGCUAAAUGAUUCGAGCAAAUAGUAGCUAUAGUAUUGGUGUUUGAUGCACUCGGGAAAAACAUAUGAUGCACCGUAUCCUCAACUCAAUUAUCACACGGGCAUCCCCUUUAGAAUAAGGGUCUUGUCUUUGAUGACACAUUAUGUUAAACUGCUCGUUAAGAAUAUUGAAUACUAGACCAUCAUAUGCAAAAACUAGAAUAUACACUAUCUAUUUAUGCACAGAAUGCAAGGAAAAAUACGUGGACCUAUCCAACCAUCAUGCGGACCAGUUAAAUAUUAAUAGUUUUGGUUGAUGCAUCGACAAAAGUGAUUAGAUGUCACAUCACUGUCCACAAGAAAAUGCUGCGUUUGCUAAACUCUCAUCCAUGAAAUUUAGGGUACGCCACUCGGAUUAUCUUAUAAAGUUUAUAAGACAUGAUAAUGCCGGAGAGUUUACAUCGAUGGCUUACGAUGAUUAUUACAUAUCCCUUGGGAUAUGUUGAACAUAUAGUUUCCUAUGUUCACACCCAAGAUGGUCUCGCAGGUAGAACCUUGGUAAUGCGCACCAAGCUUCUAUUGUUUGCGUCGGGCUAUGCAAUCUUGCAUGCAGCCAUGUCGGUCCGGUUGAGGCCCACUGCUACCCAUCUUAUUUCGUGUUACAGUUGGUGACUGGGUGUGAAUCUGAUGUUUUUGCACUUACACACAUUGGGUUUGUAGUCUCCGUGCCAAUUGUGCCGCCACAACGUACACAAUUGGGUCCUCAACAAAUGAUGGGCAUAUAUGUCGAUUAUGAACCCUAUCCAUUUAUGUGCUCCUUAGAGCCCUUGACAGGAGAUCUCUAUACCACUAGAUUUGCGGUCGUCACUUUGAUGAGAUAGUCUUCCCGCUGUUAGGGGGAGAUAACAACGUCACCUUUCCUGAUGAACGACGUGUAGAAUGUCUCAUCUUGAUCCCCAAACCGCACAUGUUAUAUUGAAGUGCGAAGAAUUCUACUUCUAGUUGAAGUGCAAAGAAUUGUAGAUCUAUGUAGUGUAGCCCAGAAUAUGCCAGACACUUCAUUAGAUCUAGUUAAAGUGACGAGAUCAUAUAUACCUGCUGCAAACCUGCAAGGAUAAAUGUCCCGUAGGACGUAUCGUCCUAGUUGGACGAAGUACGGCCAUGGCGGCUAACCAGUCAUAGUCCCUACCCUGAAGCGAGGUAGACCAUUAGGUUCGAAUGAUUCUUAUCCCUAGAAGAGGAUAAACUUGGCACAAAUGAAUCUUCUUGCCAUCGUAAUCUCAAACCAAUUCAACUCACGAGAUUAAUCCAGAUUAUGGGUUCGUCCUAGAAGAGACGAAGUUGGGGGACGCUCCAACAUUUAAACCCACUCCCGAGAAUAGAAAAUCUCGGUAAAUUUAGUGAGAUAUUGAAUCGGAAUGAGAGUUCAUCGAUGAUGUGUUUGUAUUUGCGGUGGCCACCGAAAUUAUAAUAAGCGAUGAUGUCGAACCUUGAUUCGUUGAUAGAUCUCAACGAAGAGACGAAUGGCUAAAAAGGAAAGAAACAAUCCAGGUCAUAUUAGAUUCCUUAACUUAGAGAAAGGUGUUAUGGGCCUAUUGUUCUCAUACCUCCCCAUGAUUAAACAUGCAUAUAGAGUUUAAUGGGUACUUGUAAGGAAGAGUAAUGAGAAAAAUGAGAUUGUGAUAUACAAAACUCUUCUAAUGGCGCAAGGAUUUUCUCAACGCCCUGUGAUUGAUUAUGAGGAGAAGUAUUUUCUCAUAAUGGAAGUCAUAACGUUCCACUAUCUUAUCAGUUUGGUAGUUUCCAAAUAACUGAAUAAGCAGCCUAUGAAUGUGGUAACAACUUAUCUCUAUUGGGAUCUGAAUAUAGAGAUAUACAUGAAGUUUCCUGAAGGACUUCUGUUACCCAAUGUAAAUAGUUCUAGACCACAUAACAUGCUCUCCAUUUGCUAGAGUAGUUCACUUUAGGGGUUCAAACAAUCCAGGCGGAGUUGGUAUAACCGUUUAAGUGAAUAUUUGCUUGGGGUGGGAUAUAUGAACAAAUGGACUAUGCCUAUACGUGUUUUAAGGAAACAAAUUCCUGGUUUGUAAUUUGUGGUAAUUUAUGUCAAUGACAUGAAUUUGACUGAUACUCUUGAAGAGAUUAAGGAAACUGCAAAACACCUGAAAUCAGAGUUUGAGAUGAAUGACUUUAGGAGACCAAAUAUUAUUUUGUCGACCUGAAGUCGUGCAAAGUGCAGAUGGAAUUUUGGUCCAUCAAUCAAAUUAAAUCUAGAAGAUAUUAAGAUACUUUGAUGAGGAUAAAACAAAGUAUUUAAACACACCUAUAGUCGUCCGAGGUCUAAACAAAGUAUUAUCGUGCAGAUAAUAACGAAGAGAUAUUGAGGCCAGAAGACUCAUAUCUAAGUACAAUAGGCGCAUUAUUGUACUUGAUUAAAUGACCUUGACCGGACAUCUCAUGUGAUGUGAAUUUGUUAGCUAGAUAUAGCUCUGCGCCAACACACCGCCUCCGUAAAUGGCAUAAAAGACAAUUUUCCGUUACUUUAAAUGUAUGACGGAAAAGGGCUCGUUCUAUCCUUAGGCAUCAUGAAAUAGAUCAACCGCCUAUGAUCCUUAUAAUGAUGCUUGCCUUGUUAAAUAUGCUGACACGGGUUAUGUAAACCCACACAAGGCUUAUUCCCAACUGGUUAUGUCUUUACUAUAGGGAAUACAAUAAUCUUAGAGAUAUAUGAAACAAAAACCUCUUUACAUCAUACUGACUAUUAAGUUAUUCAAGAAGCAUGAUCAAUGUAGUAGUUUUACCUAGUGUGUAGCUUUCAGGGGGAGUAUCCUGAAGCAUACUCUUGACCAUUGUGUACUCUUUUUGUCCUUCGUCCAGGGUUAUUUUGUCCCACUGGGUUUUGUUACCUGACAAGGUUUUAAUGAGGCACACAUGUAAUUGGUUACCUUGCUCAUGCUGCAUCUUAAAGAUGCUUUUAUUUGAAAUAUAUGCAUUUGCUCAUCUUUUCCCUUCGACCACGGGUUUGUCCCACUGGGCUUACCGGGCAAGGUUUUGGUGUAACAACUAAUAUGCAUCUAUCUCCUACAGACUCACAUCUUAUGAUCCAGACUGAACCGCUUCACCGAAAUCAAGGGUUCUGACUAUCACUGCUACUUGUGCGUUGUACUCUUUUCUCCUUCGACCAGGAUUGUUUUUGUCCCAUAGGGUUUUUAUUACCUGGCAAGGUUUUGACGAGGCAACACCGAAGCACAUAUUAGAGGAAGCUAAUGACAGAGAAUACCCAAGGGAGAGUGUUGUAAAUAGUUAUUACUUAGUGGGCAUUCUUGUAAUUAGCCGACUAGGGUUGUUAUUGUAAUUUACAUCAUGUCCUCAUCUCUAUAUAAGAGAUAGUUCCCUACUCAAUAAUAAAUACAUAUUCUCUCAUUCUCUUGAUUGUUUCUCUCCUUUCUCAAUCUAUUCCUUUUGUUUUACAACAAUAUGUACAUUUUUGAAUUUACACAAGCAUUAUUUGCAAAAAAAAUUCUACAAAAGCAUUAUUUUCAUACAUUUUGAAUUUUUUUAUCAAAAUUUUUUUAGCCCAAAUAGUUUUGUAAUCCUAGUUCCGUCCCUGGUCCGUGCUGCAUUAUUAUUAAAAUGUUUAUGAUUGUUUUCAUGGACUUGAAUUUUACCCACACUCACAGGCUAUAACCCGAAUCUUGUUUGUUCUAUGGAUAAGAUUAUACUUUGGAUUGAUCUAUGGUUCUACCCAUGAAAUGCUUCUGUUUUAUCUAUGUGAGCUACUUACAAUUCCGCCUCCUCCCCCCUAAGUAGCUCUUCCUAAACAAUCCAAUUGAGCACUUUUAUUGAAUUUGGUUAUAAUGAUGAUAAAGCUUGAUUGGAAAUAGUAAUAUAUAUUUGUUGUGGCAUGGUGUUUAUACUGUUUUAAAUGAAUGCGUGCACUAAUGAUAUUUUCUGUGUUCGCUACCAAAAGAUAUCUGAACUUGCCAAAAUAUAACCAGAAAAGUUGGUUAGGGUGUAUAGCCUACUUGAAAUUUGGGCAUUCAUAAUUGUUAUUGAACCAGUUGCCCUUCUUGUUGGAAACAGGUCCAUGGAAGACUGAAGGUCUGAAGGCAAACCACUCGCCAUGGUCGGAAAAAAAGGAAGGAGGAGCACCGCGUCAUAGACACGCAAGUAACAACAACAUUUUUAGUUUUUUCACAUGUUGUAAUUAUUUGUUCUUGUUGUUGUUACUGCUAAAAACAGUAGAAUGGGAGAACAUAGAAGAAGGCGUAAUUAUUUGUUCUUGUUGUUGUUACUGCUGAAAACAGCAAAAUGGGAGACACAUAGAUUGUUGGAUAACACCGAUUUCUCAGCCAUAUUGGGGAAGAAGAGGUUUAGUUUGUGGUACCACUGGACUGAUGUCCUUUUAAUUAAAGUGGUGGUUAUUUAGAAUGAGUCCUCCUGUUUUGUGUAGUUUGUUUUAAUUAUCAGAACAUUGUUGUUGCCUUCUCUUGACCUUAAAUAUCGUUUUUACCUCUUAACCUGCACCUCCAUGUUCAGUAGUUAAAUUGCAAUGUGAAGAAGUUAUUUAUAAGGGACAGCAGGACCUUUAAUUUGCUUGGCACUGUGAAGAGUUUCGCAAUCGGACAUUGAGCUGCCAUACAUGUAUACUGGGUUUAUGAUGCUGGUGAUGUAGGUAAAUAGACACUUGAUUUGACUAUGCUCUCUCGGCAUUGAGCUUCCUCUCUAAUAUCUCCGUGUUCUGGAUUCCAGAUUUUAUUUCUCGAUUACACACUGCUGUAUAAGUUUGAAUCCUCAAAGCUAGUGAAACGAAUCCGGAGGAAAAUUCUCUGAUUUAUCCUCCAAUCUCGCAGUAAAAACAAGUGGUUACCAUGAUGAGCUGAAAUUACACACGUACCCUUCCGUUAAUGGAACUGUCAGGAGUACGGUACUUAUGGAGCCAGCUUUUGCCAAGAAAUAGAUAGAAUAGAAACAGAGUAAGGGUUCAAGCACCACAGCCACAUUUUGAGUCGAUCACUCUUACAUGACUAACCUCUCCGUUUUGGAAAAGAAAAAGAAAAUUGAGGUAAAGCCUCAAUUCAUCUAGGUAGACAGAAUUAGUUCAGCCAAAAUUUCUCUUCUUCUCAAUUAAUCGUCCAACAUGGUGAUAUAUGAAUCUGGGUGGUGGUUUUGAUGGAUCUGGGCGUUUUCGGGUUGGCCAUUUCGGACUCGCUAGCCAUCAUUGAUGAGGGUCGAGCUGGACCGCGGCGGCAAUGGGUUCAGCAGGCCCGUCGUGGGCAAGCUAUUGAUGACAACGACGGCGAAAAAGAAGAAGAAUUCUGAGACGGGUAGUUCGAACCGGGUCGGGCUCUGCGCGAAUGGGUUUGGAGGCGUGGCAGCACCAAGAGAUCUGGGGGAGGGGACUGACCGACUGAGUUUGAGUUUGUUCUAACAGUUUAUGUUAACGAGUUGCCACACGCGCCGUUGGUGAGCCCAAACUCUGUGGAGGGAAGAAGCAAAAAAAAUAAAAAUAAAAAUCACUCCCCUUGUUAUUAUUGCUUGGCACUCCCCUUGUUAUUAUUGCUUAGCACCAAAUGCUUAGCAAUAGCACCAAAUGCGUGAUUGAGAUGUUGCUUCGCACAGAGAGAAAUACCAUCACAUGAUUCACAUGCUAACUCUCUCUCAUGCCCCUUUUAUGAUCACUUCAUGAUUGGUCUAUCAUAUAUAGUUAGCAAUUGUCUAGCUUUAGAAACAGAGCUAUAUUGCUUAGGAAGCCCUUAUAAUGAUGACUCUUAAGUUGAAGAUUAGUUGAAGAAUUUUUUGUUUAUCCCAUUUUUCGAUCUUAUAUCCACAUUUUGAUCGUUUAAUUUAUAAAAUUUAUGAGUAAAUCAUUUCUGUAAAUUUUCAGCCAUAUUGAAAAUCGUUAAGACAUUCAUAAAUGUCAUUUUUCCAUUAUGAACUUGAACGGUUCAUGUUUGACAAAUUUGAUUCGUCCAUUAAUUUGAUCUAGUUUGUUACCCUAACGAUAACCGAUUUAGCUGAAAAUUUGUAGGGCUGAUCUACACAUAUAAACCUAAAAAUUGAACAGAUAAGAUGCCAAGAUGUAAUCGAAAAAUAUGUAUUUUAAACCAUAAACCAAAAAAUCUUCAACAUAAGGAUCCUCACUAGAAAGACUCUCAUAUUGCCUAUAUGCACAAGUCAAGCAAAUACAUGUUCUCCAACUUUUGGGCCUGCUAUGCAGUUAUUUAAGUCAAAUUUCACACGUAACAAGUUAUUAUGUAACAUGAAUAACAUGAUGAUCAUCAUCAUCGAUAGGGAUAUGAUUUGUGAUCAAAGAGACUAAACGAUCUUUAGUCACCCCAACCGAUGUCCCAAUACCAUCACCGUGUUGAAAUAUGCAGUGAGCAGUUCGUGCCAUAUUGAGUGACAUGUUCACAA
Molecule: long non-coding RNA, 30685 nt
Filed under: Fragaria vesca (wild strawberry)
Lineage: Eukaryota; Viridiplantae; Streptophyta; Magnoliopsida; Rosales; Rosaceae
Description: long non-coding RNA (FVES_LNC000191)
Source: RNAcentral